RNAcentral lists this ribosomal RNA (464 nucleotides) under uncultured bacterium. RNAcentral describes it as "partial 16S ribosomal RNA". It matches the Rfam family "Bacterial small subunit ribosomal RNA", at positions 28 to 507 of the family's 1533-position model. The record is from RNAcentral.
GACGAACGCUGGCGGCGUGCUUAACACAUGCAAGUCGAACGGAAAGGCCCUGCUUGCAGGGUACUCGAGUGGCGAACGGGUGAGUAACACGUGGGUGAUCUGCCCUGCACUUCGGGAUAAGCCUGGGAAACUGGGUCUAAUACCGGAUAGGAGCCAUUUUUAGUGUGAUGGUUGGAAAGUUUUUUCGGUGUAGGAUGAGCUCGCGGCCUAUCAGCUUGUUGGUGGGGUAAUGGCCUACCAAGGCGGCGACGGGUAGCCGGCCUGAGAGGGUGGACGGCCACAUUGGGACUGCGAUACGCCCCAGCCUCCUACGGGGGGCAGCAGUGGGGAAUAUUGCACAAUGGGCGCAAGCCUGAUGCAGCGCCGCCGCGUGGGGGAUGACGGCCUUCGGGUUGUAAACUCCUUUCGCUAGGGACGAAGCUUUUUGUGACGGUACCAAGAUAAGAAGCACCGGCUAACACGUG